CUCAGUGCAUACAGUUGAGUGGAGACUUACAGCCAAGAAGCAGAGUGGGUCACUGAGUGAGAGCUAACUCGAGUGAACCAAAAAGAAGGUGUGUUCUUCUGGCCAGCCGUCCUGGCAGAGUUCUUACUAAUAGCUGGCCAAGAUGGCCAGAUCGCAGAGUAAGAGGCGCAGGGCUCAGCCUACAAUCACGCCGAAGUCUUGGAAGUAUGAUCCCAGGAACUGCACCCAAAUCUUGUAUGCAGUGAGAUGCUGGAAUGCAGCUGAGGAAAACGGGGGUAAAGCUUGGAAGUGAGAAGACGAACUGCAGGUGGAAAAUAAGAAGACCAAAAGAAAACAGCAUGCUACACAGUUUGGAAACGCCAUCCUCCUAGUCUCCUGUUCGCACAGCACACCUUCAUCCCCAUCUCCCUUCUCUAAGAAGACCUAAAGAAUCAACUAACCUUGGCCAGUGGGGCCUUACAGUAACUGACCCACCAAUCAAAGAGCAAGCAUGGACUGGUCCUGGGCUCCCUGUAUGUGUGUAGCAGAUGUGCAUCUUGGUCUUCAUGUGGAUCUCCCAAUAACUGGAGCAGGGGCUUCUCUGACUUUGUGUAGUUGUUGUUGUUUCGUUUUUGUUGUGUUAAUGAGGUUAUUUUAAUAACAGAGUCCUCUGUUAGUUCACAACUUUGUGUAGUUGUCGUUGUUUCGUUUUUGUUGUGUUAAUGAGGUUAUUUUAAUAAAAGAAU
Molecule: long non-coding RNA, 725 nt
Organism: Psammomys obesus (fat sand rat)
Lineage: Eukaryota; Metazoa; Chordata; Mammalia; Rodentia; Muridae
Exons: 3
Source: RefSeq, a predicted model, not a curated record